This 254-nucleotide ribosomal RNA is filed under the name uncultured bacterium. RNAcentral's name for it is "partial 16S ribosomal RNA". It matches the Rfam family "Bacterial small subunit ribosomal RNA", at positions 524 to 776 of the family's 1533-position model. The record is from RNAcentral.
UACGUAGGGGGCGAGCGUUGUCCGGAAUUCUUGGGCGUAAAGAGCUCGUAGGCGGUGUGUCACGUCGGCCGUGAAAACCUGCAGCUUAACUGUGGGCGUGCGGUCGAUACGGGCAUCACUGGAGUUCGGCAGGGGAGACUGGAAUUCCUGGUGUAGCGGUGAAAUGCGCAGAUAUCAGGAGGAACACCGGUGGCGAAGGCGGCUCUCUGGACCGCCACUGACGCUGAGACACGAAAGCGUGGGUAGCAAACAGG